CUGGUGGCGAGUGGCGAACGGGUGAGUAAUACAUCGGAACGUACCCAGAAGUGGGGGAUAACGCAGCGAAAGUUGCGCUAAUACCGCAUACGUUCUACGGAAGAAAGUGGGGGAUCUUCGGACCUCAUGCUUUUGGAGCGGCCGAUGUCUGAUUAGCUAGUUGGUAGGGUAAAGGCCUACCAAGGCGACGAUCAGUAGCUGGUCUGAGAGGACGACCAGCCACACUGGAACUGAGACACGGUCCAGACUCCUACGGGAGGCAGCAGUGGGGAAUUUUGGACAAUGGGCGCAAGCCUGAUCCAGCAAUGCCGCGUGAGUGAAGAAGGCCUUCGGGUUGUAAAGCUCUUUUGUCAGGGAAGAAACGGCUCCGGCUAAUAUCUGGAGCUAAUGACGGUACCUGAAGAAUAAGCACCGGCUAACUACGUGCCAGCAGCCGCGGUAAUACGUAGGGUGCAAGCGUUAAUCGGAAUUACUGGGCGUAAAGCGUGCGCAGGCGGUUUUGUAAGUCUGUCGUGAAAGCCCCGGGCUCAACCUGGGAAUUGCGAUGGAGACUGCAAGGCUUGAAUCUGGCAGAGGGGGGUAGAAUUCCACGUGUAGCAGUGAAAUGCGUAGAGAUGUGGAGGAACACCGAUGGCGAAGGCAGCCCCCUGGGUCAAGAUUGACGCUCAUGCACGAAAGCGUGGGGAGCAAACAGGAUUAGAUACCCUGGUAGUC
Molecule: ribosomal RNA, 714 nt
Filed under: Massilia alkalitolerans
Lineage: Bacteria; Pseudomonadati; Pseudomonadota; Betaproteobacteria; Burkholderiales; Oxalobacteraceae
Description: bacterial SSU rRNA
Rfam family: Bacterial small subunit ribosomal RNA
Source: RNAcentral